This is a non-coding RNA of Struthio camelus australis, 281 nucleotides long. The record is from RefSeq and is a predicted model, not a curated record. NCBI's taxonomy places the organism in Eukaryota, Metazoa, Chordata, Aves, Struthioniformes, Struthionidae.
AUAGCAGAAAACUGCCUUCUUACUUUAUACCCGUAUUUGGCUUUUCACCGCUUUGAUCAACAAGUUAUCUUCAAAAGCAACAGUAAUGAGAGAGACCACUGUAGUGGGGAAGCUGUUUUGCAUCCAUGUUGUACUCCACAAUCACUUUCCUUUAGUACUUCCUCAGGUUCCUUUGGUGCAAUCACUACUUCAACUUGCGAAGAUUCCAAAUCAGAAUCGGAUACUAUUCUUGAAAAUGAAAGUAUAAAGAUGAAUGAAGCUAACAGCCAAAGUGAUGGGAG